CGGCCGUGGAGGGCUGCGCGGCCAAUCAGCGCGCUGGCUGCUCCGGGCUGAGUGGCACGAGCUUAUUAGUAUGCAGGGCCCGUGGCUCGCCGCGCCAGGCUGCAGGUUUGAGAGCCGCUCUGGAUGGGCUCGCUAGAGUCGUUGUUGUGGAAGCGGUGCAUUUACAGUGCAACAGUCAGCACAUUGAAAAUACCAAUAGGAAUACAAAACAAAGUCACAUUUACUGAUUUAAUUGUAUUGCAUUCAGUUGUAUCCAGGAAACAGCCUCCAACCAUGAACCCGCACAGCGGCCGCCGGCUCGGUGCGCGGCCACCCGCCGAGAAGCCCAGUCCUCCCGUGUGCUGACCGGCCCCGCCGCCACCACCGCCUGUGAUCCCGGACGCCGCC
This 387-nucleotide long non-coding RNA is filed under the name Cercocebus atys (sooty mangabey). RNAcentral's name for it is "lncRNA (ENSCATG00000045456.1)". The record is from RNAcentral. Lineage: Eukaryota; Metazoa; Chordata; Mammalia; Primates; Cercopithecidae.